AGUGAACGCUGGCGGUAGGCCUAACACAUGCAAGUCGAACGGCAGCACAGUAAGAGCUUGCUCUUACGGGUGGCGAGUGGCGGACGGGUGAGGAAUACAUCGGAAUCUACUUUUUCGUGGGGGAUAACGUAGGGAAACUUACGCUAAUACCGCAUACGACCUACGGGUGAAAGCAGGGGAUCUUCGGACCUUGCGCGAUUGAAUGAGCCGAUGUCGGAUUAGCUAGUUGGCGGGGUAAAGGCCCACCAAGGCGACGAUCCGUAGCUGGUCUGAGAGGAGGAUCAGCCACACUGGAACUGAGACACGGUACAGAGACCGACGGGAGGCAGCAGUGGGGAAUAUUGGACAAUGGGGGGAAGCCUGAUCCAGACAUACCGCGUGGGUGAAGAAGGCCUUCGGGUUGUAAAGCCCUUUUGUUGGGAAAGAAAAGCAGCAGGUUAAUACCCCGCUGUUCUGACGGUACCCAAAGAAUAAGCACCGGCUAACUUCGUG
Molecule: ribosomal RNA, 492 nt
Filed under: uncultured bacterium
Lineage: Bacteria
Description: partial 16S ribosomal RNA
Rfam family: Bacterial small subunit ribosomal RNA
Source: RNAcentral